GUUCUGGAUUCCUAUUUUCCUUUAUUUUUUAAAGUUUUUUAUUGGCCCUUUUUUAGCAUUCUGUAUAUGCUUUGAUGUAAAAUAAUCGACCCUCCGACCCUUCCUUGAUUGUGUUUACAGCGUGAGCUGGUUAUCACGUUGAUGAACUAUUAUUUUAUUUUGAACCGAUGGUAUGUUAUUUGUGUUCAAUUUCUCUUAUAUCUGGUGUUGGACCCUUCUGUCAGUAUGUUGUCCACUAUAGUUGAGGUACCAUUUACCAGCUUAGGAAGUUAUAGCUCUAAACUUUGUGAAGAAAAAGGUGGAUGACUUCAAGAACCAGAAAUGUUUUACAUAAACGAUAUGCAUCGAGAAAUUUAAAAGGCUUCGCCAUCUCUGGUUGACAAAUGGUCAGGUAGUUCACUUAGCAAGUCCAUUUGUUACUUACAUUCUUUGCAUUCAAGUGUAUGUCUCCCGUCAGCUAUGCAUCUUGCCGUGGGAAUCAUGUUAGCAAAAACGUGAACAAGAUUUAAGGGUUUGGGGGGAUGUCAGAUUUAAGUUUAGUGAUACAUUUGUGGAGUGCAUUGCUGACGUUUUCUGCCAUUGAUCUCUUGCUCAUGUUAUUAAGGAGAAGAUAUUUGUGGUUCAUGGGGGACUUUUCAGAAAUGCCGUGGUGAUUGAGCAAUUGAACGGCUUUGUGAACCCCCAGAAGAAGGUUAAGGUGUGAGAUAUUAUGAAGUGAUCCACUCCCUAAUCCGGGUAGAGGACCAAAGCAAGCGUAGCGUGGGCCUCUCUUUUGGUGGAGAUGUUACCAAAAGGUUUCUGAAAGACAAUAAACUAGUUGUCUGAUCUCAUGAGGUCAAGGAUGAAAGGCUAGGAAAUUGAGGAUGAUGAGAAACUUAUCACUAUUUUUCGGGUUACAAACUUAUCACUGAGGUCAAAGGUGAUUAUUUUGAGUAUGACUUGGAUGGCAGUCAACAGAAGUAAUUAUGAAUAUGUGUUUGGUCUCUACGAUUGCUCAGAAUUGCUUGGUUUGCCACCAAUGUAUCACAAGGUUAAACAUUACUUGAUAUUAAUUGUUUGAUAC
Molecule: long non-coding RNA, 1063 nt
Organism: Erigeron canadensis
Lineage: Eukaryota; Viridiplantae; Streptophyta; Magnoliopsida; Asterales; Asteraceae
Exons: 6
Source: RefSeq, a predicted model, not a curated record